AUGUCAAGCGACUCCAGUCGGAUAAGCUCACACCCAAAUCGCACAAGUGCAUAUUCGUGGGAUAUCCAAGGGAAACCUUGGGAUAUUACUUCUACAACCGUGAAGAGGGCAAAGUGUUUGUCGCUCGACAUGGAGUUUUUCUUGAGAAAGAGUUUCUCAAUCGGAAGGCUAGUGGGAGGACGGUCCGACUAG
RNAcentral lists this ribosomal RNA (192 nucleotides) under Triticum aestivum (bread wheat). RNAcentral's name for it is "partial small subunit ribosomal RNA". The record is from RNAcentral. Lineage: Eukaryota; Viridiplantae; Streptophyta; Magnoliopsida; Poales; Poaceae.